Molecule: ribosomal RNA, 257 nt
Filed under: uncultured bacterium
Lineage: Bacteria
Description: partial 16S ribosomal RNA
Rfam family: Archaeal small subunit ribosomal RNA
Source: RNAcentral
UACCAGCACCCCGAGUGGUCGGGACGUUUAUUGGGCCUUAAAGGUACAGUCCGUAGCCGGUUCGUACAAGUCUUCCGUUAAAUCCAAGCGUGCUUAACAGAUGGGCUGGCGGAAGAUACUAUGGAGCUAGGAGGCGGGAGAGGCAAGCGGUAACUCGAUGGGUAGGGGUAAAAUCCGUUGAUCCAUUGAAGACCACCAGUGGCGAAGCGGCUUGCCAGAACGCGCUCGACGGUGAGGGAUGAAAGCUGGGGGAAGCA